RNAcentral lists this non-coding RNA (25 nucleotides) under Arabidopsis thaliana (thale cress). Lineage: Eukaryota; Viridiplantae; Streptophyta; Magnoliopsida; Brassicales; Brassicaceae. The record is from RNAcentral.
GGUCCAUAGCUCAGUGGUAGAGCAA